UACAGAGGGGGCAAGCGUUGUUCGGAAUUACUGGGCGUAAAGGGCGCGUAGGCGGCCGCCUAAGUCAGACGUGAAAUCCCUCGGCUUAACCGGGGAACUGCGUCUGAUACUGGAUGGCUUGAGUUUGGGAGAGGGAUGCGGAAUUCCAGGUGUAGCGGUGAAAUGCGUAGAUAUCUGGAGGAACACCGGUGGCGAAGGCGGCAUCCUGGACCAACACUGACGCUGAGUGAGCGAAAGCCAGGGGAGCAAACGGG
RNAcentral lists this ribosomal RNA (254 nucleotides) under uncultured bacterium. Its description in RNAcentral is "partial 16S ribosomal RNA". It matches the Rfam family "Bacterial small subunit ribosomal RNA", at positions 524 to 776 of the family's 1533-position model. The record is from RNAcentral.